GCCUGGCUGGCCCAAUGGUUAAGGCGUGCGACUUCUAAUCUCAAGAUUGCGGGUUCGAGUCCCGCGUCGGGUU
This 73-nucleotide transfer RNA is filed under the name Taphrina deformans PYCC 5710. RNAcentral describes it as "tRNA-Arg (TCT) (tRNA-Arg-TCT-1-1)". It matches the Rfam family "tRNA". Rfam says of the family: Transfer RNA (tRNA) molecules are approximately 80 nucleotides in length. Lineage: Eukaryota; Fungi; Ascomycota; Taphrinomycetes; Taphrinales; Taphrinaceae. The record is from RNAcentral.